This 181-nucleotide ribosomal RNA is filed under the name uncultured Paludibacter sp. RNAcentral describes it as "partial 16S ribosomal RNA". It matches the Rfam family "Bacterial small subunit ribosomal RNA", at positions 1206 to 1382 of the family's 1533-position model. The record is from RNAcentral. Lineage: Bacteria; Pseudomonadati; Bacteroidota; Bacteroidia; Bacteroidales; Paludibacteraceae.
GUCCGGGCGGACGACACGUGUUACAAUGGGGGGUACGAGAGGGUUGCUACACAGCGAUGUGAUGCUAAUCUCUAUAAAGUCUCUCUCAGUUCGGAUCGGAGUCUGCAACUCGACUCCGUGAAGCUGGAUUCGCUAGUAAUGGCAGAUCAGCAUGCUGCCGUGAAUACGUUCCCGGGUCCUU